AGCCUUAUUUGUGAAAAGUGGUCACUAUUUUUUGCAGGUGGUUAUUCAUUUCGUCUGGUGUUGUUGUUUCAUUGGCCACGUAUUUAAAUUGUAUAGAGUUACCAAUAUUUAUCAAACAUAUCCCUGUCACAUUCAGUAAGUAUCUGCCUGUAAUUCAAUGGUUGUUGCUGUGUUGCAUGAUUGAUUUUUCGUUUCUUUUUGGGUACAUUAAUCAGGUCGUUCCUUUUU
Molecule: long non-coding RNA, 228 nt
Filed under: Mytilus galloprovincialis (Mediterranean mussel)
Lineage: Eukaryota; Metazoa; Mollusca; Bivalvia; Mytilida; Mytilidae
Source: RNAcentral